UGGGGCUUAGUGGUAGAGCACUUGCCUGGCACGCAUGAAGCCCUGGGCUCCAUCCCCAGCA
Molecule: transfer RNA, 61 nt
Filed under: Ictidomys tridecemlineatus (thirteen-lined ground squirrel)
Lineage: Eukaryota; Metazoa; Chordata; Mammalia; Rodentia; Sciuridae
Also listed under: 1 other name
Description: Spermophilus tridecemlineatus (thirteen-lined ground squirrel) tRNA
Rfam family: tRNA
About the family: Transfer RNA (tRNA) molecules are approximately 80 nucleotides in length. Their secondary structure includes four short double-helical elements and three loops (D, anti-codon, and T loops). Further hydrogen bonds mediate the characteristic L-shaped molecular structure. tRNAs have two regions of fundamental functional importance: the anti-codon, which is responsible for specific mRNA codon recognition, and the 3' end, to which the tRNAs corresponding amino acid is attached (by aminoacyl-tRNA synthetases). tRNAs cope with the degeneracy of the genetic code in two manners: having more than one tRNA (with a specific anti-codon) for a particular amino acid; and 'wobble' base-pairing, i.e. permitting non-standard base-pairing at the 3rd anti-codon position.
Source: Rfam by way of RNAcentral